UCCGUAGGUGAACCUGCGGAAGGAUCAUUAUCGAUUCAACCAAAUGAGAGGGGAGUCGUUGUAGCUGUUGCUGGUCUUCUAACGGAGGCAUGUGCACGCUUGACUUCUUCCUUUCUUCAUUUACACACCUGUGAACUUGUUUGUAGGGUGUCUCGCAAGAGAUGCUCUAUGUCUUUUCAUAUACUCCAAUACUAGUCUAUAGAAUGUCAUCUUUUUGCUCUCGUCAGAGACAAAAAUAAAGGCUUUAUAACUUUCAGCAACGGAUCUCUUGGCUCUCGCAUCGAUGAAGAACGCAGCGAAUUGCGAUAUGUAAUGUGAAUUGCAGAUUUUCAGUGAAUCAUCGAAUCUUUGAACGCACCUUGCGCUCCUUGGUAUUCCGAGGAGCAUGCCUGUUUGAGUGUCAUUAAAUUCUCAACUCCCUUUGAUUUCUUCAAUGGUGAGCUUGGAUUGUGGAGGCCUGCUGGCUGUAAAGUCAGCUCCUCUGAAAUGCAUUGGCAAAGGCGUGUGCAUUAAUCGGCCUUUCGGUGUGAUAAUGAUCACCGUGGCUGGCUUGCUAUAAUGCCUAUGUCUGACUUCUUCUCCAUUCAGUUGGAUUAGAAAACCCACUUGACAAUUUGACCUCAAAUCAGGUAGGACUACCCGCUGAACUUAAGCAUAUCAAUAAGCGGAGGA
Molecule: ribosomal RNA, 672 nt
Filed under: Coniophora sp. UFMGCB 1045
Lineage: Eukaryota; Fungi; Basidiomycota; Agaricomycetes; Boletales; Coniophoraceae
Description: eukaryotic LSU rRNA
Rfam family: 5.8S ribosomal RNA (bases 249-403)
Source: RNAcentral